RNAcentral lists this ribosomal RNA (252 nucleotides) under uncultured bacterium. Its description in RNAcentral is "partial 16S ribosomal RNA". It matches the Rfam family "Bacterial small subunit ribosomal RNA", at positions 524 to 776 of the family's 1533-position model. The record is from RNAcentral.
UACGUAGGGGGCAAGCGUUGUCCGGAUUUAUUGGGCGUAAAGAGCGUGUAGGCGGCCUGACAAGUCUGCUGUGAAACUCGAGGCUCAACCUCGAGAUGUCGGCGGAAACUGUCUGGCUAGAGUCCGGAAGAGGAGAGUGGAAUUCCUGGUGUAGCGGUGAAAUGCGCAGAUAUCAGGAAGAACACCCGUGGCUAAGGCGGCUCUCUAGUACGGUACUGACGCUGAGACACGAAAGCCAGGGGAGCAAACGGG